GACGAACGCUGGCGGCGUGCUUAACACAUGCAAGUCGAACGGAAAGGCCCCUUUGGGGGUACUCGAGUGGCGAACGGGUGAGUAACACGUGAGUAACCUGCCCUUGACUUCGGGAUAACUUCAGGAAACUGGGGCUAAUACCGGAUAGGAAUCCUUGCUGCAUGGUGGGGGUUGGAAAGCUUCGGCGGUUUUGGAUGGACUCGCGGCUUAUCAGCUUGUUGGUGGGGUAGUGGCUUACCAAGGCUUUGACGGGUAGCCGGCCUGAGAGGGCGACCGGCCACCUUGGGACUGAGAUACGGCCCAGACUCCUACGGGAGGCAGCAGUGGGGAAUAUUGCACAAUGAGCGGAAGCCUGAUGCAGCAACGCCGCGUGCGGGAUGACGGCCUUCGGGUUGUAAACCGCUUUCAGCAGGGGCGAAGCUUGUGGUGACGGUACCUGCAGAAGAAGCACCGGCUAACUACUU
RNAcentral lists this ribosomal RNA (464 nucleotides) under uncultured bacterium. Its description in RNAcentral is "partial 16S ribosomal RNA". It matches the Rfam family "Bacterial small subunit ribosomal RNA", at positions 28 to 506 of the family's 1533-position model. The record is from RNAcentral.